UACGAAGGGGGCUAGCGUUGUUCGGAUUUACUGGGCGUAAAGCGCGCGCAGGCGGCUUUGCAAGUCAGGGGUGAAAUCCCAGAGCUCAACUCUGGAAUUGCCUUUGAGACUGUGAGGCUUCGAGUACGGGAGAGGUGAGUGGAAUUCCCAGUGUAGAGGUGAAAUUCGUAGAUAUCGGGAGGAACACCAGUGGCGAAGGCGACUACCUGGCCUGUUCUUGACGCUGAGGCGCGAAAGCUAGGGGAGCAAACGGG
This 254-nucleotide ribosomal RNA is filed under the name uncultured bacterium. RNAcentral's name for it is "partial 16S ribosomal RNA". It matches the Rfam family "Bacterial small subunit ribosomal RNA", at positions 524 to 776 of the family's 1533-position model. The record is from RNAcentral.